CGUAAAACGGUAUUGUUUAUCUUAUUCGAGGAGUUCUGAAAUUGAAAAGAGAUAGAAUGUGUAUUUGUGUUUGAAAAAUGCAUUUAAUAUUAGAGUAUACAAGCGAUGAGGAGGCGGAACAAGCGUUGGUACAUGAAUUGUUUGAAGUAGGAGGCCAUGGAUUGAAAACUUUUUGUGCGAACACACAAAGUUAAAGGACAUACAUUUGCACAGAGAAAAACGAGCCCUCAAAAAUCUGCUUGUCAGUUUUGAUGUGGACGACAAGCAGAAAGAGGGCUUCACAUAUAUGUCCUCCAAACAUGGCAAACACAUCCUUAAUCGGUGAAAUAGACUUUCUGACACACUUUGUUUGCCGGAAGCGGGAAGAGAAAAAUGUGCAGCAGUCAAGCAUGGUAUUGAUACUGACGUCCAACUAGUUCGCUGGGGCUUCUACUGCCCGGGUCAGGGGAAUUGUCAAAGGGCAUGUGGUGGCUAUGGAAGAUGUGCUGAAGGUUGUGAUGUUACUCAGAAGCGAAACAACAAACAUUGCUGCAGUGUUGAAGUCAUUGCUGAAAUCCUUGCCUCAGACCCUACACGAUGGCGUGUCUGUGUUAAAGGCCAGCAUGUUCCUCCAGGUAUCGAAUGGCUGCCUCCCAACAAAGAAUAAGCCCAUGUUAGAGCGAGUGAAGGACAAUGUAAUGAGUGAUAGGUUAGUGGGUUUAACUCCCUUUAACAUUUAUAGAAAACAACUUGCUGGGAUAGAAGAAAAUAAAAUAGCUGCUUCAUUCAAGGACACCCGCUCACAUCCAGUUCCAGAAAGGUUGACUGACGUAUAUAACACUGAGAAGCGUCAUUCAUUUCAAUCUGGUCAAUGGUCAUCAGUUCAUGCUUGUGUUCCUGAGUUGAAGCAGCAAGGCAUUCUGCUUCUGUACCAUCAACCCAGUAGUCAGACUGAUGCUCCGGAAGCGGACAAAUUAUUUACCUUGUGCUUAAGCAAGCACACAGCUCUGCAAUCUGCCAGAAGGAAUCAACAUGUGUUGGGAAUUGACGGCAAGCACGGUCUACAAGAUGAUGGUGCAUGCGUGACCACUUGUGUCACACAACACCAUGAUGGCUUUGGCUGCCCAACAGCCAUCUCUAUAAUAAAUAGAGAAAACACCUACUCCAUUUUGUUGACACUGCAAGCAAUCAUAGAAAAUGUGCCAUGUGAUAGUGCAGAAUGUACCCAUGACUUCACCUACUUGGGGAUUCCUGAUCAGCGAUGAUAUAGGAGAAAGACCAUUUGUGCUGCUCACAAUCCUUAUAAACCACUGGUCAUGAUAGACAAGCAUGAACCAUCUGCAAAUGCAUGUCAGCGUCUCGGAUUGCAGUAUGUGCUUUGCUGGUUUCACAUUGUGAAGGCAAUGAUGGAGAAGCUAAAAGCUCUCAACCUUUAACUUGUUCAGUCAUACCUGGUCAUCCUUGGCUUCAAGAUUGUUGCAAGGUCUUCACAUCAUGAAACUGCAGUUGCACGAUGGGAGCUAUUUAUCCAGAUGAUCAAGAGCAUGGAAGUGACGCCUGCUACUCAAAACGCACUGUUGAAGUACCUGACUGAGGAAUGGUGGUGUGAAAAAUGGAGAUAUGCCUGGCUGGAUUCAUCUCGCCUUCCCCUGAUUGCUAAUGGAGAGCGGACAAUGACCACCAAUAACCAUGAUGAACAGCUGAACCUUCAGGUAACAGACUGUGUUGGUGGAAGAAGGAAAAAGGCUUCAACACUGUUGUAUGAGCUUACAGGUGUUCAAGCAUCCAAGGAGAAUAGCGGUAGCCAGUUUGUUCCUCCCAAGAAAGCAUCGUUUCUCAACAUUCACGCAGCAAAGACUAUUGCACAUGACCUGGGAACCGACAUUGGCACACCGUGAGACAUCAAACUACGCUCAAACCAAACUAGAUUACUGUUUCUGACCCAAGAAAUCCUACCUGUACGAGAAGACUCUUCUGAUCUGUUCUUCGUUGAGGAUUUUGACAGUCAUGUGAAAAGGUUUUGCGAUCAUAAGGGGAAUUGGGUGACAGUGAACACAGAUACAUGUUCUGUUCUACAAGGCCUUCUGAAAAGCUUGAUACCAGAAAAUGUUGUUGUACCAAACAAAUGUGUCUUGGUAAAUACAGCAGAGCCAGCCUGUAGUUGUUCAGACUUUCUGUGGAGAUCAGGACUUCGUGACCCAUGCAGUCAUUUCAAAGCCUGUGAAAUGUAUAAAUGAGGUUUACUGAUAGCCAUGGAUGAGGUGAAACUUCAAAAAAGGCAACUCCUAGCAAAGAGCAUUCGACAGCAGCAGAUGGCAAAGCCGCGUACUGAAAGAAACUUGCUGCUGGCCUCAAGAGAUGAUGAGGUAUUGUCCUGUAUUUGUUCUUUCUUUUUUAAGAUAACUGUAAAAGUGUAAGAAUAGCUUGAUUUUA
Molecule: long non-coding RNA, 2412 nt
Organism: Dreissena polymorpha
Lineage: Eukaryota; Metazoa; Mollusca; Bivalvia; Myida; Dreissenidae
Exons: 9
Source: RefSeq, a predicted model, not a curated record